UAAGUUCAGACACCAUUUUAGAGAACUUGAAUUCAGGUAAGACUACUAUUUAGCCUUAGUUUUCCAGUUUUUUCCCCACCCCAACAAAUCCAGAGCUUUGUCCCAGUUUCUAGGUUAACCCCAACAGACAAGCAUCCCCAGAUUAAUCUCUCCCAAUAUUUCCAGGUUAAUUCCUAACAAGCCUACCCCCUGCCUAAUGACCACCAAUGCAGAAAUUUAGGGUUUGACUCCCAGCACCAACUAAUAUUGCUUGCCAGGCUAGAAAUGCCCAUUCCCCACAUGUUGUUUUCUAUAAAACCUUACCUUGAUAGAUAUUGGGCGCACCUCUCCACCAAAACUGUCCUACAUGCUGGCUGUGGGCUGAGGGGCCCAAGCUAGCUCAAAUAAAGGCCUGUUGUGAUGUGUAUCAGAUAGAUUCCUGUCUAGUUUUGGGGGUUCACUAACACUUCUCUUGGCACUACACAAGGAUCUAUGACCUCUCUACCCACAGGUGGUUGGCUAGAUUUAUAGUACCAGGCACAAUGCACUCCUGUUGAGCAGUCUAAUUAGAUAGCUACUGGGUACCACCAAGAUAAUAGUACCACUUAUUAAUUGUUGGGAUGUCUUUCCACACUGGUCAUUGCUAUGGCUCCAGGCUUGUAGGAAUUAGAUUGCCCUUCUCCCUUCAUUAUUUUUAUAUCAUCUUCUGAUUCUAUAAGGGCUAGUCCUCAGGGAGGAAGUUGUCACAUCAGUUCUAACUUGAUUUCUCCAAAUUGUAUGUCUAUAGUUUGUGAUUUCUUUAUAAUACAGGGUCUUACCUGUUGUGGAUUUGGUCUUGAGAAGGCUAGGAUGAAUCUAUGCCAAAUUUCGAAUUGGCAGUUAAGGAGACUAAAUCAAUUACUAAUUGAAAACAAAAACAAAAACCCGGCUCCAACUUCACCUCCUGGUAAUAGUUCCUGAAUGCCUAGAGAUAGAGUGACAUAAAGCUCAUCUACCCCAGAAUCCCAAUUGCUUUAAAUUGAGCCUGCAGCUCACUUGCUUGUCUCUCUAUCUCAGUAAUGGGAGACCCCAGCAUGCUGGAUUUCUGAAGAAUAAAGCACUCUUUGCAUGUAUAUACUGUUUGAGUCCCAGGUAUAAUUCACCAGUGAAUCUUAAGCCUUUACAUCUAGGGGCUCAUCCAGAAUUCACUGGAGACCCUCUGACCAAGUAGUAGAGUGUUUUUCCAGUCAUUAUGUCCAGUCUCCUGGUUGCCUUUUGUCUUAUCCAUACCUGUGUUUCUGUUUCAGGGUUAACUUUGGGUUUAAUCUGGAGGCCAAGAAGGACAAAACAAAUGCAUAUUUUGUUACCUGGCCAGGGGCAAUAGAAGAUUUACCCAAACCCCUACCAAAAGCUGUAGAACUUGCUAGUUCUCAUCUGGAUUCUGAACUACCUGUGGGUCUAUGGGCCACUCAUGCAUAGAGAGGGAGACCUUCUGAGGCAGCCUUUUGGUUUGUUUUUGUUUUCCUGGGAAUAUCCAUUUGUGUCUGUCUGUCUGUAUUCUGUUUGUGGUUUUGGUCCUCUUGUAAACUUUUUUCUUUGAUUCCUAGAUUGGGACAGGCACAAAUCACCCCACUGGGCCUGGGCCUGAACCAUUUUGAAGAUGUUUGCUGAGUCACAGAAGACUCGGGUCUGUUUUUUCAUCCCUGCAAACUAACCAUCUUUUGCAGGAAUGAAUGGCCCAUGUAUGGCCCGAGAAGGGGGCUUUUCAUCUCCCCUUCAUUUACAGGGAUUUAGUUUAUGAGGCUUGGGGCACACAGAACAAGUGCCAUGUGGCAAUACCUGUUUUAAGAAGGCCCCUGUUUAGAUGAAAUAUGUUUGUUAUGGGCUGUACUGCUCUCCGUCCUUCUUAUUCUAAAGGAGGGUCAGCUUUGGCCCCCUGUCUUGCUUCCCUGUUCUGCUCCCGAGGGGGAAUCUCUGUUUCCCUCCUUAUGUUCCUGAUCAUGCUGCCACUGCUGCUGCCCCUGCUCCUGCCCAGCCAGCACAGGCAGAGGAAAGAACAGCUCCUGACUUCCCCUGACUCUCCUGACUCCACUUGAAGUCCACCUCACACGCUGACCCAUACUGCCCAAAGGAUCAACUCUAUUACAGCCUUACACCUCCAGGCUACGGGACCCCCAGAUGUUCAGGGGAGACAGUUCAUGACAUGUGCCAUUUGCUAGUAUCUAUCUUUACAAUUAGAAAUUGCAGAAGUCCCCAUUUUUAGGAAGACCAUCAGCUCUCACAGAUCUUCUAUAUUUGAUAAUGCUGACUUACCAGCCUACCUGGGACAACUGUCAGCAUCUACUCCAGGUUCUACUCACAACAAAGGAAAUAGAGAGGAUUGUGGGAGUUGCCUGAAAAUAAGUUCCAGAAGCAAAUGGACUGCCCACUCAAAUCCAGGCUGAUAUCAAUGCAGCCUUUUCUUUGACUUGACCCAAGUGGGAUCUUUAACACUGCUGAAGGUAAGGAGAGGCUCUGUGUCCACCGCCAAAAUUCUGAUGGCAGGCCUUCAAGAGGCUGCCAGAUGGCCCACAAACUUAUGUAACUUAUGGUGAGCCAAGUGAUGCAGAAAAAAGAAUGAUAGCCCCAGAGAUUAUCUAGAAUGACUUUUCGAAGUCUAUAGAACCUAUACUCCUUUUGACCCAGAAGCCAGAGAGCACCAGUCGGCUGUGAACAGGGCUUUUGUUAACCAAGCUGUGCUUAACAUCUGUUGGCAGCAUCAGCCACUAAAUGGGAUGGCUUUGCAGCCUGCUUCUGCUGCCCAAAAGCCAGUGCUUGUUUGCCUUUGAAUGGCAAGACUUGAAGAGAGAAUUCAAGAGACAACUGACUUGGACAUGCCUCCCUCAAAGAUUCAAGAACUAGCCCAAGGCACUGCAUGAGGACUUGGUUGAGUACUAGUGGGCCCACCCCUAAAUAACUGUGCACCAGUAUGUAUUGCAGGUCCCCAACUUGGAGACAUGACAGGAGGCCCCAGGAGACCUGCUACAGGAGCUGAGUCAAGGUGGCUAUAGAGAUGACAUUUUAUAAAACACUAAUUUAAAAAUGUGUAAUUUCCCUGCGCCAUCUUGGGCGCGAUCUCGGCAGAGGGCCCCAAGGUCCCCAGAGGACUCUGCAUGCUGCAGGCACCCUGGCACAC
RNAcentral lists this long non-coding RNA (3133 nucleotides) under Mus musculus (house mouse). Its description in RNAcentral is "long non-coding RNA chr2:181890737-181893870". Lineage: Eukaryota; Metazoa; Chordata; Mammalia; Rodentia; Muridae. The record is from RNAcentral.